Molecule: ribosomal RNA, 254 nt
Filed under: uncultured bacterium
Lineage: Bacteria
Description: partial 16S ribosomal RNA
Rfam family: Bacterial small subunit ribosomal RNA
Source: RNAcentral
UACGAAGGGGGCUAGCGUUGUUCGGAAUCACUGGGCUUAAAGCGCGUGUAGGCGGGAGGGCACGUCCGUCGCUGAAAUCCCCCGGCUCAACCGGGGAACGGGCACGGAUACGACCUUCCUGGAGGGGCGUAGGGGGACCUGGAACUUCCGGUGGAGCGGUGAAAUGCGUUGAGAUCGGAAGGAACGCCCGUGGCGAAAGCGAGGUCCUGGACGCCUACUGACGCUGAGACGCGAAAGCCAGGGGAGCGAACGGG